GACGAACGCUGGCGGCGUGCUUAACACAUGCAAGUCGAACGAAGAGCGAUGGAAGCUUGCUUCUAUCAAUCUUAGUGGCGCACGGGUGAGUAACGCGUAAUCAACCUGCCCUUCAGAGGGGGACAACAGUUGGAAACGACUGCUAAUACCGCAUACGAUCUAAUCUCGGCAUCGAGGAUAGAUGAAAGGUGGCCUCUACAUGUAAGCUAUCACUGAAGGAGGGGAUUGCGUCUGAUUAGCUAGUUGGAGGGGUAACGGCCCACCAAGGCGAUGAUCAGUAGCCGGUCUGAGAGGAUGAACGGCCACAUUGGGACUGGGACACGGCCCAGACUCCUACGGGAGGCAGCAGUGGGGAAUCUUCCGCAAUGGACGAAAGUCUGACGGAGCAACGCCGCGUGAGUGAUGACGGCCUUCGGGUUGUAAAGCUCUGUUAAUCGGGACGAAAGGCCUUCUUGCGAAUAGUGAGAAGGAUUGACGGUACCGGAAUAGAAAGCCACGGCUAACUACGUG
This 510-nucleotide ribosomal RNA is filed under the name uncultured bacterium. RNAcentral's name for it is "partial 16S ribosomal RNA". It matches the Rfam family "Bacterial small subunit ribosomal RNA", at positions 28 to 507 of the family's 1533-position model. The record is from RNAcentral.